Podarcis lilfordi (Lilford's wall lizard) is the source of this 74-nucleotide non-coding RNA. The record is from the annotation of a GenBank genome assembly. NCBI's taxonomy places the organism in Eukaryota, Metazoa, Chordata, Lepidosauria, Squamata, Lacertidae.
GCCUUGCAGCUCACUCUAAGUAGAAUAUUAGACUCUUAAUUUCAGGGUCGUGGGUUUGAGCCCCACAUUGGGCA